UUUAUAUAAUUUAAACUUAAAAAUAUUAUAUUUUCAUUAUAAUAAUAUUUAAUAAAAAAAAAUUUUAUUAAG
Molecule: transfer RNA, 72 nt
Filed under: Dryinus sp. ZJUH_2016011
Lineage: Eukaryota; Metazoa; Arthropoda; Insecta; Hymenoptera; Dryinidae
Description: tRNA-Glu
Source: RNAcentral